Molecule: ribosomal RNA, 466 nt
Filed under: uncultured bacterium
Lineage: Bacteria
Description: partial 16S ribosomal RNA
Rfam family: Bacterial small subunit ribosomal RNA
Source: RNAcentral
GACGAACGCUGGCGGCGUGCUUAACACAUGCAAGUCGAACGGUAAGGCUCCAGCUUGCUGGGGUACACGAGUGGCGAACGGGUGAGUAACACGUGGGUGACCUGCCCUGCACUUCGGGAUAAGCCUGGGAAACUGGGUCUAAUACCGGAUAGGACCAUGGUGUGGAUACUGUGGUGGAAAGUUUUUUCGGUGUGGGAUGGGCCCGCGGCCUAUCAGCUUGUUGGUGGGGUAAUGGCCUACCAAGGCGGCGACGGGUAGCCGGCCUGAGAGGGUGGACGGCCACAUUGGGACUGAGACACGGCCCAGACUCCUACGGGAGGCAGCAGUGGGGAAUAUUGCACAAUGGGCGGAAGACUGAUGCAGCGACGCCGCGUGGGGGAUGACGGCCUUCGGGUUGUAAACUCCUUUCACCAUCGACGAAGGGUUUCUGACGGUAGAUGGAGAAGAAGCACCGGCUAACUACGUG